This 336-nucleotide ribosomal RNA is filed under the name uncultured bacterium. Its description in RNAcentral is "bacterial SSU rRNA". It matches the Rfam family "Bacterial small subunit ribosomal RNA", at positions 28 to 363 of the family's 1533-position model. The record is from RNAcentral.
GAUGAACGCUAGCGGCAGGCCUAACACAUGCAAGUCGAGGGGCAGCACGUCUUCGGAUGGUGGCGACCGGCGCACGGGUGCGUAACGCGUAUGCAACCUACCUCUUACAGUGGGAUAGCCCCAGAGAAAUUUUGGAUUAAUACCGCAUAGUAUACAGAUUCAGCAUUGGGACUGUAUUAAACAUUUAUGGGUAAGAGAUGGGCAUGCGUUCUAUUAGUUAGUUGGAGUGGUAACGGCACCCCAAGACAGCGAUAGAUACGGGGCCCUGAGAGGGGGAUCCCCCACACUGGUACUGAGACACGGACCAGACUUCCACGGGAGCAGCAGUGAGGAAUA